Molecule: ribosomal RNA, 253 nt
Filed under: uncultured bacterium
Lineage: Bacteria
Description: partial 16S ribosomal RNA
Rfam family: Bacterial small subunit ribosomal RNA
Source: RNAcentral
UACGAAGGGGACUAGCGUUGUUCGGAAUUACUGGGCGUAAAGCGCACGUAGGCGGAUUUGUAAGUCAGGGGUGAAAUCCCGGGGCUCAACCUCGGAACUGCCUUUGAUACUGCAAAUCUCGAGUCCGAUAGAGGUGGGUGGAAUUCCUAGUGUAGAGGUGAAAUUCGUAGAUAUUCGGAGGAACACCAGUGGCGAAGGCGGCUCACUGGCUCGAUACUGACGCUGAGGUGCGAAAGCGUGGGGAGCAAACAGG